This is a long non-coding RNA of Orcinus orca (killer whale), 2914 nucleotides long. RefSeq lists it as uncharacterized. The transcript has 2 exons. The record is from RefSeq and is a predicted model, not a curated record. Lineage: Eukaryota; Metazoa; Chordata; Mammalia; Artiodactyla; Delphinidae.
CGCGAGAGCCUCCUCUUCCGGGCGGUUUGCGGGAGUUUUUCUGCGUUCUCUGGAAGUUUGAGGCGGUAGCCGGGUGGCCGGGCCGGAGUCUGGGCUGGAGCCCCGGGCCCGAGAAAAGCAACCUGGGCUACCCCGAGGUGAGGACGUUUUAAAAAGGCUAACUUAACACGAGGAAGGGGCUUCCCUGGUGGCGCAGUGGUUAAGAAUCCACCUGCCAAUGCAGGGGACAUGGGUUUGAGCCCUGGUCAGGGAAGAUCCCACAUGCCGCGGAGCAGCUAAGCCCGUGCGCCACAACUACUGAGCCUGCGCUCUAGAGCCCACGAGCCACAACUACUGAAGCCCGCGUGCCUAGAGCCCGUGCUCCACACAAGAGAAGCCACGACAAUGAGAAGCCCGCACACCACAACUAGACAAAGCCCACGCGCAGCAAUGAAGACCCAAUGCAGCCAAAAAUAAAUAAAUAAAACAAAUAAAUUAAAAAACAAAAAAACACGAGGAAGCUAAAACACUGCUGAAGCAAUGGGAAGGAGUCACAGACUUGGAUGCCAGUUCUGUGUGUAGAGAACCCAAAGGAUGACAUUUGUGAAAGCUCUUUGGAAACGAAGUGCUUUACAAAUAAAUGUGAUUUUCAGGCCACACGUGGCUCUCGUAUUGACUGCUUGGUGCGGCCGACAAUUCUGAGACAUCUGCGAACGGCGGUGGUGGGGUGGCCUGAAGCUGGAGGAGAACCACCCCAAGGGGUGAAGACCUGGGGGCCAGAUGCAGGACGCGCGAUUCCAGGAGGAGGGCCAGAGCGGGGGGAAAGGUGAUUGGGAAGAGUCGGGGCUCGAGCUGGAGAAACGGAUGUGGUCAAGGUGUGGUGAGAGAUGGUGAAUUGCCUUAGAAUGGACCAAGAAGUCAACAGAAGAAUGUUUUGUUGGAAAAGUGCCUACCGUCCUGUCACUUGAAACUCAUGUGUAAAGCACUACCUGCCCUAGACAGGAGCCAAAAAUACGAUUCACAAAUAAUUGUUAAUGCGAAUGUUCCGUGCUAAUACUGCCCUAGGUGCUAGUUAUAAGGGAAACCCACUGGAUCCUUGCCCUCGCGAGAUUGCAGAUUAGUGAACAUAAUAUCCCAUAAAUUGUAUGGCUAAAUAUAUAAUGAUGAAUUGUAAUAACACGUAACAGUAAAAUGAGUAAAGGUGGCCAGGAGGAUUCAUGCUUUAAGAAGUCAUGGAAUUCUUUGGAAGAGAUGGAAUUAACCAGCAAUGUGGAAGAGUAGUCACCAGGGGGAAGGGCAUUUCCGACGCAGGGAACUACUUGUGCCACGUUAUCUGGCAAAGGGGAGAUAACUUAGUCUACUUGAGCUUCAGUUUCCUCACUUGUCAAAUUUAACAGCAAUUAUCUACAUGGGCCAGGCGCUGUGGAAAAUGCUGAAAACAAUACACUAGGUGAUCUCUAAGAUUUCCAACAACUUUAAAUAAGCUAAGAUUGUGUUCAUCUCAGAUUUUUAAAGCUGUAUAUGCUUCUCUAAUAAUGUUUCAAAAAAAAGGGCAACUAACUAUCUCACUGGAAAAUUAAGAGUCAGCUUGGGACUUGUUCAAGAGAGAAAGUAUAGCUGCAUCUGCGGUCUUAUCUGGGUAGCCAUUCUGAACCCUCUUGAUGAACCAUUUCCAUGUCAGUGCUCUACAUGCCUUUUCAAUCUGUGUCAGCCACUCCACCAAAGCAGCACUCCAAAAGUGCCUUCAGUAAAGUACUUUCUGGUUUCCAGUACUUUGAUGAGAGGAGUGGUGAGAGAAGACAUCCUUGCCUUGUUCCCCAACCCUGGGGGAAAGCAUUCUGUCUUUCAUCAAUCUUCCCAGACUGAAAACUACUUACCAACCUGAAGACCAGUUGAUUGACUUAUCUACUAACAGAUUUAGGACACAGGCUUCCUAGAUUCUUAUUCAUAACCCUCAUGGCAUGUGCUGAACUUUUAAAACUUGGAACCUGAGAGAAUGUUGCAUGUGUACAUUUAAUAGGUGUUUUUAAUGUAAAAAACACAAACACAUGGAGGCUAAACAAUACGUUACUAAAUAACCAAGAGAUCACUGAAGAAAUCAAAAAGGAAAUCAAAAAAUACCUAGAGACAAAUGACAAUGAAAACACGAUGAUCCAAAACCUAUGGGAUGCAGCCAAAGCAGUUCUAAGAGGGAAGUUUAUAGGUAUACAAGCCUACCUCAAGAAACAAGAAAGAUCUCAAAUAAACAAUCUAACUUUACAUCUAAAGGAACGCGAGAAAGAAGAAAAAACAAAACCCAAAGUUAGUAAAAGGAAAGAAAUCAUAAAGAUCAGAGCAGAAAUAAGUGAAAUAGAAACAAAGGAAACAAUAGCAAAGACCAAUAAAACUAAAAGCUUGUUCUUUGGGGAGAUAAACAAAAUUGAUAGAACUUUAGUCAGACUCAUCAAAAAAAGAGGGAGAGGACUCAAAUCAAUAAAAUUAGAAACAAAAAAGGAGAAGUUACAAUGGACACCGCAGAAAUACAAAGCAUCCUAAGAGACUACUACAGGCAACUCUGUGCCAGUAAAAUGGACAACCUGGAAAAAAUGGACAAAUCCUUAGAAAGGUAUAACCUUCCAAAACUGAACCAGGAAGAAAUAGAAAAUAUGAACAGACCAAUCACAAGUAAUGAAAUUGAAACUGUGAUUAAAAAUCUUCCAACAGGGCUUCCCUGGUGGCACAGUGGUUGAGAGUCCACCUGCCGAUGCAGGGGACACAGGUUCGUGCCCCAGUCCAGGAAGAUCCCACAUGCCACGGAGUGGCUAGGCCCGUGAGCCAUGGCUGCUGAGCCUGCACGUCUGGAGCCUAUGCUCCACAACGGGAGAAGGCCAUGGCAAUGAGAGGCCCACGUACCACCAAAAAAAAAAAAAAAAAAAAAAAAAAACUAAUAAAAGAA